GUGGUCUCGGUCGAAGAAGGCACACCGCUUCCUUGCCUGUUUUGGUGGCUUCGCUUUGUAAACGUAAACUAUCCGAAAUGUGAAACAAUGUAUGAAAUCUCGCAGCUAGUGCGGACUCAGCUGACUAUGCGGCGUGAACACGAUCUCCUCCCUCCGACUGCUGUGAGGCGUCUCGGCUCUCGUCUCUCUCUGUUUUUAAUGUCAUAUGCUUUAUAGGCAUGCAAGGAAGGUAAACAAUAUGUCUAAGGUGUAAAGAAUACUAUAAAAAAUGAGUUGUAAGUAAUUGAGAUUAAACACGAGCAAGGAAAUAAAUAAGUUGCCAUGUACCUGAACGUCUCAGGCUGGGCUCUGUCUUAAUUUCCAGUGCAGGUCUCUCGUCUCACUCACUUGUUUCUGUUUAAUAAUAGCUAAGCAUACCCUACAUUUAUUCCAAAUUUAUUGUGGGAAUACUGACUAUAGUUUCUUAAAGCUACUAACGUGCCCAAAACCGAAACUACGGUAAAUCUUAAAAGUGCCUCUUUCGUCGUAAUUAUGCUUUCACACGAAGGUUUGACUCAUAUUCAAUCCCAAAUAAAGCCUCGGUUGCUUUUUGGCGAGAGUUUCGCUUUAACUUGCUGUGGCAACAUGUUUUUAUUGUGCUCUCAUUUUGAAAAUUUCGUCCCUAUGUUACAGAAUGAGUGUGGGAGCCACUCAUCACAGGUCAACGCUGAGUUCCAUCGUAAAUCUUGAGGCCAAAUUCAUGUUCCUGUUAGACCACUACACCCCUAAACUGCUUUCCAUCUUCCAAGUCAAGAAAGGUGCUGCUGGAGAGAGACAUCGUACAGAAAUGAAUAUUCUACUGCAGAAUGGAAUUCCCAUAGAGAAAACCAGAGAAGUUGUCAUCCGAUGUCUCAUUGAUCACCUUGGCGAAGAUGUGGGUGCCUUAAUCAAGGAGUUUGACGUGGCAGAGGCAGCGCAGAGGUCGGGUCGAGCAGAACUGGAUGAAAUUGGACCGGGAACUGGUGACAAAGGCAUACAGAAAAUUUUGAUGAUUCAGCCGCCAAUGUGGAAGAAGAGCUGGCAGCAGAGACGAUGGCUCUGUACCUUGUGCGUAAUGAAGAUGGACAAGUCAGGGAUGUAGGGAUCGUCACUGAGGGUUCCACCGUACUCAACCAGCUUGGGGAUCUCAGCAGAGCCUGCUGAUACUUGCUUGGACUAACUUAUGCCUUGGACCCUAAAUACCCCAAAACUCUGAAAUACAUUUUUGAGAUAUUUCAAAAGAUGCUUGUUGAAGUGGAUGCUGGAACCCUGUCAACAAAGGUGCAACGUCUGAAAAACAAUGUAAUGAUAUAGUUGUCUGUGGGGUAGAUGAGCACAGAUGAGACUCAUACCCAACUGAACCAUGCCUGUAAGUUAGACUGUACCCGCAGUAAUUAGUGAGGUUCUUCUGGACAGGAACUUGGACAAUCCAUGGCUUCAUUUCGUCAAACCACCUCCAGGUGUUGUCUGACUGAUUGCAUGAUCUGAUGUUUUUUUGAUUGUACAUUUACAUUUUGCAAUAAUAUGCAUUUUUUCUUUAUAUACUUCACUUUUUUCUUUGAUCAUUCCUGUAAGGCAUUAGGCAUCCAAUUUUCGAGUCAGUGAUUUAAAUGUUGUACUUAGGAGAAAGUUGUUUUUGUAUUUUCAGUUUAAAGUAUCUGUAAUUGUGAGAAAUGCAGGUGUUUGAAAAGCCAGAUAUGCUGUGGAGAUGAUUUUGCCCUUGUGUCAUAGAUUGUGAUAGGCCCAACUGUUAGUCAUCAAUGUGUUUAGUGUGAAGAUUACCCCUUGCAUUAAUAUACAUCUUUAAUAUGUACUUAUUUUUUCAUGGCCAUUUGGCAAGAAGCAUUUUAGUUCAGAGGCGUUUGAUCUUGGGUAUCCUGAAUUGCCUUUCCUGUAACAGCUUUGAAUGUGCUGCUGUAGGUUUUGUCCAUGUAACUUGAGUGGUAAGACAGACAGACAUGUUAAUGAGUUAAAUGUUAGUUGGUGAUGGUUCAAAUGAAAAGAACAGUUGAACCCCUCUGUUGUUGUGAUACAGCUCCAGUUGUUGUGGAGAAGUUGCCAAGCUAAGUAUUUUAAAAAAUUCCUUGUUGAAAUGCACUUUUAUGUAUUAGGUAUGUGCAUAUACUGGAAAAAAUUUAAUUUUCUGUGGAAAAAAAUGUUUUAAAAUAAAGUUUAAUGUUUUGUCAGAUCUUGGUCAUAUUUGUAUAUAGUACUGAAUAUCCUCAAAUCAAAUACAGCAUGUAGUGAAUUAAGUUUAAAAAAUCAGUCAGUACAACACAUAUUUUUAGUAAGUCAUUAGCAAAUUUGCAAUUAUCUCCCACAAAUAUUUUUAAUUAUAUUUACUCAGUUUCUUUAGUGCUUUCUACUCACGUUUUCUAUAUGGUUUACACAGUAUUUCAGUUACAUUUACUCAAUUUAUGUGGUAUUUGUGCCAAGUCAAAUCAUUCAGACCUAAUUGAAAAUAUUACUUAGAUUUACUCAUUACUCGUGUUUUGUUUUAACAGAUUUGAGAGCUUUCAAAUCAACUCAAUAUUUUUAAGUGUAAAAAUGUUUCACUAAUUUAAUUAAGUAUUAUGCAGUAUUAUUUUUUAGAGUGUGGACAGAAGUUGUUUCACUUCAUGAAAUGAAUAUUAAAAUAUGUAGAAUAAUAAUCUCCCUUCAUGGUGCAAAAUAAGCAGAGAAACAAAGUCAUUUACAGUUGACUUGAUAGAUUUACUGUGUAGAUUUACUGAUUUAAAGUGAAACUCUUGCCAAAAUGCAACCUAGGCUUUUUUUGUGAAUGUAUAUGAGUCAAACCUUCGUGAAAAAGCUUAAUUAUGACGAAAGAGGCACUUUUAAGAUUUACUGUGUUUUCGUGUUCGGGUCAAACUAAUUUUCAACGGGAGUGCUACGGGCACUUUUACACUGUUUGUGAACACAGAGUUUACUAAAAAGAAGGAUUUUGAACAACUCACGUUAGCAGUAGCUUGUUCCGCUCGCCGCCGUCCUGCCAGUGGAGAAGUGUCGAUCUUAGAAUGUGACGUAACCUGGAGGACAGUUAAGGUGGA
This is a long non-coding RNA of Sparus aurata (gilthead seabream), 3065 nucleotides long. The record is from Ensembl. NCBI's taxonomy places the organism in Eukaryota, Metazoa, Chordata, Actinopteri, Spariformes, Sparidae.